GACGAACGCUGGCGGCGUGCUUAACACAUGCAAGUCGAACGAAGAGCGAUGGAAGCUUGCUUCUAUCAAUCUUAGUGGCGAACGGGUGAGUAACGCGUAAUCAACCUGCCCUUCAGAGGGGGACAACAGUUGGAAACGACUGCUAAUACCGCAUACGAUCCAAUCUCGGCAUCGGGACUGGAUGAAAGGUGGCCUCUAUUUAUAAGCUAUCACUGAAGGAGGGGAUUGCGUCUGAUUAGCUAGUUGGAGGGGUAACGGCCCACCAAGGCGAUGAUCAGUAGCCGGUCUGAGAGGAUGAACGGCCACAUUGGGACUGAGACACGGCCCAGACUCCUACGGGAGGCAGCAGUGGGGAAUCUUCCGCAAUGGACGAAAGUCUGACGGAGCAACGCCGCGUGAGUGAUGACGGCCUUCGGGUUGUAAAGCUCUGUUAAUCGGGACGAAUGGUUCUUGUGCGAAUAGUGCGAGGAUUUGACGGUACCGGAAAAGAAAGCCACGGCUAACUACGUG
Molecule: ribosomal RNA, 510 nt
Filed under: uncultured bacterium
Lineage: Bacteria
Description: partial 16S ribosomal RNA
Rfam family: Bacterial small subunit ribosomal RNA
Source: RNAcentral